Non-coding RNA from Phalacrocorax carbo (great cormorant), 1020 nucleotides. NCBI's taxonomy places the organism in Eukaryota, Metazoa, Chordata, Aves, Suliformes, Phalacrocoracidae. The record is from RefSeq and is a predicted model, not a curated record.
AGCGACAGGCCCCACCCCCUGGCAACGGCCCGGGGGGCGGUGCCGGCUCUCUCCCCUUAGCGACAGGCCCCGCCCCCCGGCAACGGCCCGAGCCUGUGUUUGCUCCGCUCGGGGGGGGGCUCGGUUUGGGUGUUUUCUCUCCCCCCCCCCUCCCGCGCCGGGAGCUCCAGGCGGCUCCCGUACGGCUCCCGGGGCCUUCCCCCCUCGGGGGGCUCGGCCCGCCCCUUUCGCGGGGCGCUGUGGGAAGGGCGGGGGCGGGGCCCGGGGGUCGAAGAGCCCCAGCCGGGGCUCGGGCAGCUCUCGCUGCCCCCGGGCUCCUCUGGCGCCGGGGCUCCCGUGUUCCCUCGGGCGGUCGCAGCUCUGGGGCUGUCUCAGCCCCCCGGGCAGGCGUGCUCUGGCGUUUAGAGAAGCGGAGGCGUUGCCUGAGGGCAACUUCUGUUCCCGAGGUGGUGCCUACAGUACAGCUAUCUCUUCGAAGGCAGUUUGGUUUAGGUCAGAGAAUGUUUAGCCUGGACUGAAUCAGCCUCUGUUUCUAUUUCUGGAAAUCGUCGGUCCUGUGCAUCAAGCCCGGAAAAAAGGAAAUAUGAACCAAAGGACCUGGGGCCUGCAGGGCUAGGAAAAUAUUUGAGAAGAGGUUCAGCGGGGAAAUGACUGUUUGUCUGUGGGGCGUCCAGGCAAGCAACCCAGCUGCUAGAAAGCGGCGCUGUCCCCAGGAUGGCCUCGGCGGUCCCGUCGGAGUCGGGGGAACAAGGACAAGGCAGGGUGAAGCAUCUGGCCUGCUGUGUGGACCGUGACUGUACAAAGCACGUGUGAUGCACUGCAAGUUUACCUGUUUAAACUGUGAGUUAAAGAAGGUGUGCAGUUGCUUUGUAAACAGCCGACGCUCUAAAGCUACACCCAUCUAAUUGCUAGCUGUAUUAAAUCUAUCGUAUUGCUGUUUCUGCAUUAAAAAAUAAAUAAAAAAAAACCACAACAAACCUAUGUAAGCACUUCUAAGUACAAUGGAAAACCACUGUUUAA